This 497-nucleotide ribosomal RNA is filed under the name uncultured bacterium. RNAcentral's name for it is "partial 16S ribosomal RNA". It matches the Rfam family "Bacterial small subunit ribosomal RNA", at positions 28 to 507 of the family's 1533-position model. The record is from RNAcentral.
GAUGAACGCUGGCGGCGUGCCUAAUACAUGCAAGUCGAGCGAACAGACGAGGAGCUUGCUCCUCUGACGUUAGCGGCGGACGGGUGAGUAACACGUGGAUAACCUACCUAUAAGACUGGGAUAACUUCGGGAAACAGGAGCUAAUACCGGAUAAUAAAUUGAACCGCAUGGUUCAAUAGUGAAAGACGGUUUUGCUGUCACUUAUAGAUGGAUCCGCGCGGCAUUAGCUAGUUGGUAAGGUAACGGCUUACCAAGGCAACGAUGCGUAGCCGACCUGAGAGGGUGAUCGGCCACACUGGAACUGAGACACGGUCCAGACUCCUACGGGAGGCAGCAGUAGGGAAUCUUCCGCAAUGGGCGAAAGCCUGACGGAGCAACGCCGCGUGAGUGAUGAAGGUCUUCGGAUCGUAAAACUCUGUUAUUAGGGAAGAACAAAUGUGUAAGUAACUAUGCACGUCUUGACGGUACCUAAUCAGAAAGCCACGGCUAACUACGUG